AGGAUUAUAGUUUAAAAAAAACAUUUGAUUUGCAUUCAAAAAAUAUUAAAUUAAUUUAUCUUA
RNAcentral lists this transfer RNA (63 nucleotides) under Barca bicolor. RNAcentral's name for it is "tRNA-Ala". Lineage: Eukaryota; Metazoa; Arthropoda; Insecta; Lepidoptera; Hesperiidae. The record is from RNAcentral.